UCCCAACAGGAGACGCGAACAAAGG
This 25-nucleotide non-coding RNA is filed under the name Rattus norvegicus (Norway rat). Lineage: Eukaryota; Metazoa; Chordata; Mammalia; Rodentia; Muridae. The record is from RNAcentral.